CCGCCCGGCUUAAAGUUAAAAUUUUAAUAAAAAAGAACACCCCAAGGGUAAAGGAACUCUCCAUAAAACCCAUGGAGGAGACUGUACACGUCCUCUUUGGAUCCUGUCUGGAGUCACAGAU
Small nucleolar RNA from Arvicola amphibius (Eurasian water vole), 121 nucleotides. RefSeq annotates it as small nucleolar RNA SNORA26. NCBI's taxonomy places the organism in Eukaryota, Metazoa, Chordata, Mammalia, Rodentia, Cricetidae. The transcript has a single exon. The record is from RefSeq and is a predicted model, not a curated record.